This 339-nucleotide ribosomal RNA is filed under the name Triticum aestivum (bread wheat). RNAcentral describes it as "partial small subunit ribosomal RNA". The record is from RNAcentral. Lineage: Eukaryota; Viridiplantae; Streptophyta; Magnoliopsida; Poales; Poaceae.
AUGAAUAUACGCACUGGGAAAAUAGAGUUCUUAGGCUAUUGGAUCCUGGAAGCCAUUUGCGGUUAUACCAAUGAAGAGGUGUAUUCCAGCCUCACUAUUGUCAGGUGUGUUGUCCAGGGUGUACUGAAGCACAAGAAGUUCAAAGCUACUCCUUUGUUUGUGAGGCAUACUGUUCUUGUCAAGCUUACGCAUGAAGAUGACGUGGCAUGCCUCCACAAACAAGUUUAUCAGUGGCAAGGCCACAAGGUUGUCUUCAUGAAGGUUCACAGGAUUGAGCUGCUGCGGGACGUCCUCGAUGAUGUUCAUGGCAAGGUCCGUCUUGUGUCCAGCCCAAAUUAG